Molecule: non-coding RNA, 145 nt
Organism: Pan troglodytes (chimpanzee)
Lineage: Eukaryota; Metazoa; Chordata; Mammalia; Primates; Hominidae
Rfam family: Metazoan signal recognition particle RNA
About the family: The signal recognition particle (SRP) is a universally conserved ribonucleoprotein.
Source: Rfam
GCCGGGCAUGGUGGCGAAUGCCUGUAAUCCUAGCUCGGGAGGCUGAGGCAGGAGAAUUGCUUGAACCCAGGAAGCGGAGAUUGCAGUGAGCCGAGAUCGCACCACUGCACUCCAGCCUGGGCAAUAGAGCAAGCCUCUGUCUCAA